GCCACGCCACCCCCUCCCACUCCUCCGGGCUCAAUGAAGCUUUCUUUUCCCGCAGGUUGGGAGGCCAGGCAGCGGCGUUCAGGAUGCUGGACUUGCAAAUGGUUUCGGGACAGCAGGAUGGCCCCUGUGGCCGCAGGAAGCUUUUCAGCCCGUAGCCGUUUCUCCACAUCUCCAGCUAGACAGAGUAUCAACAGACCAGUCCAAUUCCAGAGCUGGACCAUGGGAACAAGGUCCCACAAAGAAAACUAAUGUCCUGAGGGCCCUCUUGGUCAUUAUGGCGACCCCAAAGUCCCUGCAGGUGAUGUCACGGCCUUCACUCUGAUGUCACGUUAAAUAUAUGUCGUCACUCCCAGCUUCCACCCCCAGGCACUAGGGCCUUUAGUUGGUGACCGCGACUUCCCUGAGUAGUGCCACUGUGCGUGCGGUGAGAUAAAGGCUCCCCUUGGGUUCUUCCUGACGGCUCGUUUUCCUUCGACCCCUCCGUCCCCGCCCCCCCUCCCCGCAUCA
RNAcentral lists this long non-coding RNA (507 nucleotides) under Rattus norvegicus (Norway rat). RNAcentral's name for it is "long non-coding RNA NONRATT021520". Lineage: Eukaryota; Metazoa; Chordata; Mammalia; Rodentia; Muridae. The record is from RNAcentral.